AGAGUUUGAUCCUGGCUCAGGAUGAACGCUGGCGGUCUGCUUAACACAUGCAAGUCGAACGCAAGUAGUAAUACUUGAGUGGCGGACGGGUGAGUAACGCGUGAGAAUCUGCCUUUUGGUCGGGGACAACCACUGGAAACGGUGGCUAAUACCGGAUAUGCCUAACGGUGAAAGAUUAAUUGCCAGAAGAGGAGCUCGCGUCUGAUUAGCUAGUUGGUGAGGUAAGAGCUCACCAAGGCAUCGAUCAGUAGCUGGUCUGAGAGGAUGAUCAGCCACACUGGGACUGAGACACGGCCAAGACUCCUACGGGAGGCAGCAGUGGGGAAUUUUCCGCAAUGGGCGAAAGCCUGACGGAGCAAGACCGCGUGAGGGAGGAAGGCUCUUGGGUUGUAAACCUCUUUUGUCAGGGAAGAACACAAUGACGGUACCUGAAGAAUCAGCAUCGGCUAACUCCGUGCCAGCAGCCGCGGUAAUACGGGGGAUGCAAGCGUUAUCCGGAAUUAUUGGGCGUAAAGCGUCCGUAGGUGGCUAGUCAAGUCUGCGGUCAAAGACUGGGGCUUAACCCUGGAAAGGCCGUGGAAACUGACGAGCUAGAGUGCAGUAGGGGUAGAGGGAAUUCCCGGUGUAGCGGUGAAAUGCGUAGAGCUCGGGAAGAACAUCGGUGGCGAAAGCGCUCUACUGGACUGCAACUGACACUCAGGGACGAAAGCUAGGGGAGCGAAUGGGAUUAGAUACCCCCGUAGUCC
Molecule: ribosomal RNA, 746 nt
Filed under: uncultured cyanobacterium
Lineage: Bacteria; Bacillati; Cyanobacteriota
Description: bacterial SSU rRNA
Rfam family: Bacterial small subunit ribosomal RNA
Source: RNAcentral